CCUACGGGUGGCAGCAGUGAGGAAUAUUGGUCAAUGGGCGUAAGCCUGAACCAGCCAAGUCGCGUGAGGGAUGAAGGUUCUAUGGAUCGUAAACCUCUUUUAUAAGGGAAUAAAGUCGGGGACUUGUCCCCGUUUGAAUGUACCUUAUGAAUAAGCAUCGGCUAACUCCGUGCCAGCAGCCGCGGUUAUACGGAGGAUCCGAGCGUUAUCCGGAUUUAUUGGGUUUAAAGGGUGCGUAGGCGGCCUUUUAAGUCAGCGGUGAAAGGCUGUGGCUCAACCAUAGAAUUGCCGUUGACACUGGGAGGCUUGAGUAUGUUUGAGGCAGGCGGAAUGCGUGGUGUAGCGGUGAAAUGCUUAGAUAUCGCGCAGAACCCCGAUGGCGAAGGCAGCCUGCCAAGCCAUGACUGACGCUGAUGCACGAAAGCGUGGGGAUCAAACAGGAUUAGAUACCCCAGUAGUC
RNAcentral lists this ribosomal RNA (460 nucleotides) under uncultured bacterium. RNAcentral describes it as "partial 16S ribosomal RNA". It matches the Rfam family "Bacterial small subunit ribosomal RNA", at positions 338 to 795 of the family's 1533-position model. The record is from RNAcentral.